AGGGUAAUGGAGAGACGUGUCCAAAAGGUUUUGUAUUGGACACAGCAUCUUACUGUGCCGAUGAGGACGAAUGUGCUGUUGACUCUCCCUGCUCACACUCAUGUAAUAAUAUCAUGGGUGGUUUCUCCUGCGCGUGUCCUUCUGGAUUCACCAUCUCUACCGAGUCCAACACCUGCCGAGAUAUUGAUGAGUGCACCCAAGGUUCCCACUUGUGUCACCC
Sinocyclocheilus grahami is the source of this 220-nucleotide long non-coding RNA. RefSeq lists it as uncharacterized. The record is from RefSeq and is a predicted model, not a curated record. NCBI's taxonomy places the organism in Eukaryota, Metazoa, Chordata, Actinopteri, Cypriniformes, Cyprinidae. The transcript has 3 exons.